GCCACAUUCACACCCCCACGAGUUCCACACCCUCCUCACCUCCCCGGCGAAGCAGAGAAUCCUCCCUCUCGCCGACUUCCUCGAACACUUACAGACAGUGAAGUAGAACUACUGCCUGCUCGCUUGCAGUAGCUGCAGCUGCAGUGGUGGUCGUGGCAUGGCUUCUUCCCUCGCGCCCGCGUCGUGCGCGCUGCCCCUGCAUCCGAGGGUGGCCACGGCGGCUGCCGCGGCGGCAGGCCCCUCCUGCCGCGUGCUGCUCGCCUUCACGGCGCCCCGCUCGGCCGCGUCGGUGCGCCGGGCGGGGAUCCUCGCGCCGCUCCGGUGCUCGCCGCUCGAGGAUCCCGGCGCCACCGGCAGGGAGGAAGGGGGGAAGGAGAAGGGGGGCGUGAGCAAGCGGGUGCACGGGAGGCCCAUGUGGAGGCGGAUCCUGUUCGCCUCCAAGAAGACCCGCAGCAUCAUGAUUCUCAACGCCCUCACCGUCAUCUACGCAAGUGAUAUUCCAGUUCUGAAAGAGGUUGAAGCCCUCACAGAACCCGCGGUGUUCAACAUGGUGCGCUUCGUAAUCGCAGCCAUCCCCUUCAUACCAUUUGUGAUACGCGCAUUCGGCGAUCGCCGUACACGAAAUGGGGGAUUAGAGCUAGGAGUUUGGGUUAGUCUAGCGUACCUUGCUCAAGCAAUUGGGUUGAUCACAUCUGAAGCUGGGCGAGCAUCCUUCAUUGCAGCCUUCACAGUGAUAGUUGUGCCUCUGAUUGAUGGCAUUUUUGGCGCCUCGAUACCCAUGCUGACUUGGUUCGGGGCCAUAGUAUCAGUUAUAGGGGUUGGCCUGCUAGAAUGUGGUGGCUCUCCUCCUUGUGUUGGUGACGUGCUGAAUUUCUUGAGUGCGGUAUUUUUCGGGAUCCAUAUGCUUAGAACGGAGCAAAUAUCAAGAAGUACAGACAAGAAGAAGUUCAUGGCUCUUCUUAGCUUUGAGGUUCAUAACUGAAUUGCGUACUUGCAGUCUCCGAUAUCCACUAUGCUGCUCUAAUCAUCUUGGUCACAAAUGGGAACCAUCUCACUGACCAUCUAUCAUUCAGGUCCUUGUUGUGGCUUUAACCUCGAUAAUCUGGUUUUUGCUCAAAGAUGCCUUCGUUGAGGUCCACGAUUCCAGCUUUGAAUCAUGGACGUUUGGUACGCUUUGGGAUUCGGCGGCUUCUUUUCCUUGGAUACCAGCACUGUACACCGGAGUCUUUUCAACGGGGUUAUGUAUGUGGGCAGAGAUGGUAGCGAUGGCCCAUGUUUCAGCAACUGAAACUGCAAUCGUUUAUGGACUAGAACCGGUAUGGGGAGCUACAUUCGCUUGGUUCCUCUUAGGUGAAAGAUGGGACAAUGCUGCAUGGAUUGGAGCUGCCCUUGUACUAUGUGGAAGCCUUACUGUACAGCUAUUCGGGUCAGCUCCCGAAAAAUCCCAGAAAGUUGAAUCGCGCAGCGGGAAUACAUUUGAAUCCCCACUGAAACGGCAGGAGCGCUUGUCCCUAUCUGCUAUCCCCGUCGAUUCCAGGAAGAACAUAGGGAGCCAAUUAGAGAGGAAGGAUAAAACAUUGUAGCCCAAGGUCAAGGGAGUAACGCAUCCUCCAAAGACAGGGUCAAGAACUCAAGAUCGCAACUGUAUGUAAACCAAAACAAGCGGCCUUAUAUCUGACACUUGCUUUGGUUCAUUAAGUAGAUGCAAGUGCAACCGGCGUUUGCUCUACAGAGAAAGGUUGCUAUUCCCAUGAUCUCGGAGGUUAGUUGCCAUUUAGGGUAUCGACUGGACUAACUAGUGACUAGAGAUAAUCUAGUGCCCAGUAUAUAUUAGAAAAUGUGGCAUUGUCUUUCCCCUUUUUGAAAAAAUAUAUAUUAGAAAAUGUGGCAUUGCUGGCUAGAAACUCUUGUGCAUGCUACAGCAGCCGGUGUAAAGUGGCAACUGCAGUUGGGAACAUUGUGUGUAGAUUCCAUGUAAAUAUAUUUAACAUACGUAGCAAGGAUGAUAGUAAAUGAUAACGCCAUUGUUGUCAAUAUUGUAAGUCUGUUGGUAGGGUUACUAGUUUAAACCAUGUAAAUAGAAUCUUAGACAGUCGAUGACGAUCUGCUUUUAUGUUCCAUUUUGUAAUUAUGUAGUGCUGAAAUCAUC
RNAcentral lists this ribosomal RNA (2149 nucleotides) under Triticum aestivum (bread wheat). RNAcentral's name for it is "partial small subunit ribosomal RNA". Lineage: Eukaryota; Viridiplantae; Streptophyta; Magnoliopsida; Poales; Poaceae. The record is from RNAcentral.